This is a non-coding RNA of Enterococcus avium ATCC 14025, 105 nucleotides long. Lineage: Bacteria; Bacillati; Bacillota; Bacilli; Lactobacillales; Enterococcaceae. The record is from Rfam.
AAGAAAAUUGCGGGAGAGUGCAGCUAAUCUGCCACCGAAGGUAUAAGCUGUGAAACAAGCUGAAUUCACAGUGAACAUCUCAGGUAAACGGACCGUAAUUGGAUA